GUGAACGCUGGCGGUAGGCCUCACCCCUGCCCGUCGAACGGCAGCACAGUAAGAGCUUGCUCUUACGGGUGGCGAGUGGCGGACGGGUGAGGAAUACAUCGGAAUCUACUUUUUCGUGGGGGAUAACGUAGGGAAACUUACGCUAAUACCGCAUACGACCUACGGGUGAAAGCAGGGGAUCUUCGGACCUUGCGCGAUUGAAUGAGCCGAUGUCGGAUUAGCUAGUUGGCGGGGUAAAGGCCCACCAAGGCGACGAUCCGUAGCUGGUCUGAGAGGAUGAUCAGCCACACUGGAACUGAGACACGGUCCAGACUCCUACGGGAGGCAGCAGUGGGGAAUAUUGGACAAUGGGCGCAAGCCUGAUCCAGCCAUACCGCGUGGGUGAAGAAGGCCUUCGGGUUGUAAAGCCCUUUUGUUGGGAAAGAAAAGCAGCAGGUUAAUACCCCGCUGUUCUGACGGUACCCAAAGAAUAAGCACCGGCUAACUUCGUG
This 491-nucleotide ribosomal RNA is filed under the name uncultured bacterium. Its description in RNAcentral is "partial 16S ribosomal RNA". It matches the Rfam family "Bacterial small subunit ribosomal RNA", at positions 29 to 507 of the family's 1533-position model. The record is from RNAcentral.